This 250-nucleotide ribosomal RNA is filed under the name uncultured bacterium. Its description in RNAcentral is "partial 16S ribosomal RNA". It matches the Rfam family "Bacterial small subunit ribosomal RNA", at positions 524 to 773 of the family's 1533-position model. The record is from RNAcentral.
UACGGAGGAUCCAAGCGUUAUCCGGAUUUAUUGGGUUUAAAGGGUGCGUAGGCGGAUUAUUAAGUCAGUGUUGAAAGGCUAAAGCUUAACUUUAGAAGUGGCAUUGAUACUGGUAGUCUUGAGUACAGAUGAAGUGGGCGGAAUGUGUCAUGUAGCGGUGAAAUGCAUAGAUAUGACACAGAACACCGAUUGCGAAGGCAGCUCACUAAGUUGUAACUGACGCUGAGGCACGAAAGCGUGGGGAUCAAAC